RNAcentral lists this non-coding RNA (124 nucleotides) under Bacillus sp. (in: firmicutes). RNAcentral describes it as "Bacillus sp. FMN sequence". It matches the Rfam family "FMN riboswitch aptamer (RFN element)". From Rfam's summary of the family: The RFN element is a highly conserved domain that is found frequently in the 5'-untranslated regions of prokaryotic mRNAs that encode for flavin mononucleotide (FMN) biosynthesis and transport proteins. This element is a metabolite-dependent riboswitch that directly binds FMN in the absence of proteins. The record is from RNAcentral. Lineage: Bacteria; Bacillati; Bacillota; Bacilli; Caryophanales; Bacillaceae.
AGGUAUCUUCGGGGCAGGUGAAAAUCCUGACCGGCGGUUAAAGCCGCGACUCCUAAUGUAUAUUAGGACUGAUUUGGUGAAAUUCCAAGGCCGACGGUUAAAGUCCGGAUGGGAGAAGAUCAAU